GCCGCCGUGGUGGAAUGGCAGACACCUGGGAUUUAAAACCCCAAUCCGCGCAAGCGGAGUGCAGGUUCGAGUCCUGCCGGCGGCA
This 85-nucleotide transfer RNA is filed under the name bacterium. RNAcentral describes it as "tRNA-Leu". It matches the Rfam family "tRNA". From Rfam's summary of the family: Transfer RNA (tRNA) molecules are approximately 80 nucleotides in length. Their secondary structure includes four short double-helical elements and three loops (D, anti-codon, and T loops). The record is from RNAcentral. RNAcentral also lists the same sequence under 1 other name.